GGCAGCAGUGGGGAAUUUUCCGCAAUGGGCGAAAGCCUGACGGAGCAACGCCGCGUGAGGGAGGAAGGUCUUUGGAUUGUAAACCUCUUUUCUCAAGGAAGAAGUUCUGACGGUACUUGAUGAAUCAGCCUCGGCUAACUCCGUGCCAUCAGCCCCGGCCAUACGGGGGAGGCAAGCGUUAUCCGGAAUGUUUGGCCGAUAAGUUGCCGCAGGUGGGCACGCAAGUGGGCAUGUAAAUCAGGGUGGUUAACGACCUACUGGCCGUGGAAACUGCCAUUGAUACUGAGUCUCUUGAGUAUCGUUAAUUUCCGCCGAAUGUGUGGAGUGCGGAUGAAAUGGAUAGAAUGACUCGGAACGCCAAUUGCUAAGGCGGCG
This 375-nucleotide ribosomal RNA is filed under the name uncultured bacterium. RNAcentral's name for it is "bacterial SSU rRNA". It matches the Rfam family "Bacterial small subunit ribosomal RNA", at positions 347 to 726 of the family's 1533-position model. The record is from RNAcentral.